Molecule: long non-coding RNA, 1453 nt
Organism: Nasonia vitripennis (jewel wasp)
Lineage: Eukaryota; Metazoa; Arthropoda; Insecta; Hymenoptera; Pteromalidae
Exons: 3
Source: RefSeq, a predicted model, not a curated record
CUGAGAUGCCAGCCGAUGGCCAGCGUGGCUAGUAGGAAAACCGCAGCGCCCUUCCACAUUCUCGCUUGAUUUCUUUGCAACACUAAUAGCUACGAGCUGUUGCCGGCUCGGCGUUCGGGCGGCGACUGAGAUGCCGGUUACCAGCGGUCCGCUACUUCUUGCUCUAUUAUUGUCCCCUCUACUCCGGAGAGACGCGAGCGAACAGCUCCGAGAUCGAUGUGUGCGUUGGGCUCGUCGUCUAAUGAUGAUUUUGCAUUUCAUUCCGCGACUGGAGAGUAAUUUCGGAAUUUUACUCUGUAAACCUUGUGAGUCAUUAAUUUUUUUCAGCGAAGACGUAGUACACAAAUAGUUGAUUUAAUGAAGAAAAAGACCGCAGAUUUGAUAUCGUUUCAUAAUAUUAUUCGAAUGAGAUUUGUUCCUUUUCAAUUUCUCGGAUAAUAUCGGGGAACAUGAAGAAGAAAGCACUGAAAAAAAUAGCAGAGGACCUGGAAUGUCUGGAGGCUGGCAGGAAGCAAAUGCGCCGAGAUUGGAUAACGAUGCGCAAGAGAAUCGAAGAAGAGGUGUCCAUUAAAUGGGAAAUCGCGGAUGAUGAAUCGAAGAGAAAUUUCGUACAGAGUAUCAUCGAGAGAGUCCUGGAGACUGAUGCUAGACUGAUGAACUUCGAUAAAAAAUUGCUCUGCGUUCAACAGGAAAUAGGCGCCCAUGCAGCUAAAGCGUAAUAAGUUAGCCUAUACCCUGGCCCAUUGCUAAUAUGAUCGCAGUGAAGAUAAGAUCGUGAAUAUUUGUUGGCGUUAAAAUUUGAACACAUGUGCGGCUACAUCAGAUUGAAAGUUACGGUUCCGGGAUGAGACAGCACGAAAAGUCACAUCCUCAUCAUCGGGUAUGCUACACAACGCAGUAUAUUAUCGUCCCGGUGACGCUAUCUGCGAAAUUGGAUUUUUAAAUUUGACGUCUGCUACUAUACCUUGAUGUCGAAGAAGAAAUAAAAAGCGAAUUACGGAAGUGUAAAUUGGUCGAUCAGUGCAACGCUUUCUCUUUGUAUGUUUAUUUAUGCUAAUGCUGGAUUCAUUAUGCAGUGUGCAAUCGUGAAAGCGUUAAUUGUUGAAUGAAUUAGUGACAUCGAUCAUAUUGUGGACUAAUCCUGACGUAUAUAGGUAUAUCGAAUUGUUGCUAACCUAAAUCACGAGUAAUGGAAUUCUCAGACACAAAAACAAAGUUCGAGAGGUCCGAUAAGAUUCGCAAAUUAUCAAGUUGUACCGAGAAUCAGCAGUUUCGUUUUGUUCAGUGCAUUCGUUCAUAAGUCGAGUGCGUUUGAUCUUAUUUCACAACAAAUAAAGUUUCUUAUGGUGGCAUCCUGUGUAUAUAACAUACAAGACUUUAUUUUUUAUUUACUUUUACUUGGCUGUAUUUACAUUAGUUACCUCAAUGUCAAUAAAAUGUAAUACGAAAAUAA